GUUCUCAGCAGUGGUGUAGACCGCUUGAGUUGCAGGCUGGAGGGGUGUGCUCGAGUUCCCACCGAAAAGUCUGUUGUUGUAACGGCAGUCUCCCUCAACACUUAUCUUGUGAUCACUGGAAAUCUUCCAAGGCAUCGGGAACAGCUGGGUGAGGCCGAAGUAACCGCAUAUUGCCAGUCGUCCCCUGUGAAUCGGUGACCACAUAUGAAGAUGCACCUCGACUCGUUGACGGCUUAGCCACUGCAUCAAAGUCUUCCCUGGACAGCCUGGUACAGGCCAAAUCAGACCAAUACAGUGACA
RNAcentral lists this long non-coding RNA (300 nucleotides) under Gigantopelta aegis. RNAcentral's name for it is "uncharacterized LOC121385382". The record is from RNAcentral. Lineage: Eukaryota; Metazoa; Mollusca; Gastropoda; Neomphalida; Peltospiridae.